Molecule: long non-coding RNA, 454 nt
Filed under: Coffea arabica (coffee)
Lineage: Eukaryota; Viridiplantae; Streptophyta; Magnoliopsida; Gentianales; Rubiaceae
Description: long non-coding RNA (CARA_LNC005908)
Source: RNAcentral
AUCCAAUAGGAAUACAUUCUCACUCUUAUUGAGAGCUUCUCUCUCACCGUAGAGUUUUCCUCCUCCUUGUAUUUUCAAGUUUCAAAUUUUUAAACUCCAAAAAUCCAAAUUUCAAAAGUGUCAAAAUGCCAACCUACAACAACAAUACCCAACAACACAAGCUUUGAAUUUUAGUAUUUACUAUCCGAAUUCAUUUACUAGCACAUGUGUUAUCUGAGACAAGCUUUAGGGUUCAGGAAUGCUCAUCCAGUUGGGACAGCUUGAGUCAUAAAAUGACCACUAAUGACCACUUUUCUUUUGCUUAGCUUUUCUUCUUUCUUUUCUGCAUUUUUCAAACACUCUGAUCAUAAUUAUCACUGAAAACAUGCUUCCUUGAUAUUUAACCCGCAGGUUUAAUCAAGUGUUUCAUACAUGGAAGGAUCUAUCAAGAAAUACUAUCAACCCAAGCAAUGAU